RNAcentral lists this ribosomal RNA (233 nucleotides) under uncultured bacterium. RNAcentral's name for it is "partial 16S ribosomal RNA". It matches the Rfam family "Bacterial small subunit ribosomal RNA", at positions 794 to 1022 of the family's 1533-position model. The record is from RNAcentral.
UCCACGCUGUAAACGAUGGGUGCUAGGUGUCAGGGGCUAUAAGCCCUUGGUGCCGAAGCUAACGCGCUAAGCACCCCGCCUGGGUAGUACGGCCGCAAGGCUGAAACUCAAAGGAAUUGACGGGGGCCCGCACAAGCGGUGGAGCAUGUGGUUUAAUUCGACGCAACGCGCAGAACCUUACCGGGGUUUGACAUGCAGGUGGUACUGACCCGAAAGGGGAGGGACCCGCAUCU